RNAcentral lists this ribosomal RNA (743 nucleotides) under uncultured bacterium. Its description in RNAcentral is "bacterial SSU rRNA". It matches the Rfam family "Bacterial small subunit ribosomal RNA", at positions 35 to 761 of the family's 1533-position model. The record is from RNAcentral.
GCUGGCGGCGUGCCUAAUACAUGCAAGUCGAGCGAACGGACGAGAAGCUUGCUUCUCUGAUGUUAGCGGCGGACGGGUGAGUAACACGUGGAUAACCUACCUAUAAGACUGGGAUAACUUCGGGAAACCGGAGCUAAUACCGGAUAAUAUUUUGAACCGCAUGGUUCAAAAGUGAAAGACGGUCUUGCUGUCACUUAUAGAUGGAUCCGCGCUGCAUUAGCUAGUUGGUAAGGUAACGGCUUACCAAGGCAACGAUGCAUAGCCGACCUGAGAGGGUGAUCGGCCACACUGGAACUGAGACACGGUCCAGACUCCUACGGGAGGCAGCAGUAGGGAAUCUUCCGCAAUGGGCGAAGCCUGACGGAGCAACGCCGCGUGAGUGAUGAAGGUCUUCGGAUCGUAAAACUCUGUUAUUAGGGAAGAACAUAUGUGUAAGUAACUGUGCACAUCUUGACGGUACCUAAUCAGAAAGCCACGGCUAACUACGUGCCAGCAGCCGCGGUAAUACGUAGGUGGCAAGCGUUAUCCGGAAUUAUUGGGCGUAAAGCGCGCGUAGGCGGUUUUUUAAGUCUGAUGUGAAAGCCCACGGCUCAACCGUGGAGGGUCAUUGGAAACUGGAAAACUUGAGUGCAGAAGAGGAAAGUGGAAUUCCAUGUGUAGCGGUGAAAUGCGCAGAGAUAUGGAGGAACACCAGUGGCGAAGGCGACUUUCUGGUCUGUAACUGACGCUGAUGUGCGAAAGCG